Molecule: ribosomal RNA, 118 nt
Filed under: Propithecus coquereli (Coquerel's sifaka)
Lineage: Eukaryota; Metazoa; Chordata; Mammalia; Primates; Indriidae
Source: RNAcentral
UACGGCCCUACCAUCCGGAACACACCUGAUCUCAUCUGAUCUCAGAACCUAAGCAGGGUCGGAGCUGGUCAGUACUUGGAUGGGAGAUGGAGAUUUGGGACACGGGAAAAGGCCAUGC